GCCACAACCGGAAAUAGCUAACGAGACCAGCACCCAUUUCCGCAGCCUCAGGUUGGGAAGGGAUGGUGGUGAGAGCUGAGAAGUAGCGGGCGCCCCCUUCAGACUGCAGCCAGGAUAGCAUUCGCGGAAGGAGAUCUUCCUCUGAAUGUGGAUAAUGUUCUUUCUCAUAAGACCCUCAGAAUUGUCCUGGAUCAUUGCAUUGCUGCUAGUAGAGAAGUCCAUUACAUUCGAUUGUACCACAUUGUAUUGGUCUCUGUGUACAAUGUUCAAGGAGCGCAAUUAUGUUAAAAUACAGUCAGCAAAAUGUCAUCAUUGCUAGUCUGCUGGUUCUGGAGAAGAAAAUGACAUGAAGGAUGUAACCCUUGGAUUCAUCUUCCAAGUGACCUGCCUAUAUUACAGCUUCUUGCACUAAAAUAUGUUUUUCCAUGGAUUUAUUACUGCUGGAAUCCUCCCCCCCACCCCCCACAAAA
Molecule: long non-coding RNA, 470 nt
Organism: Monodelphis domestica (gray short-tailed opossum)
Lineage: Eukaryota; Metazoa; Chordata; Mammalia; Didelphimorphia; Didelphidae
Source: RefSeq, a predicted model, not a curated record